GUGCUGAAAGCAUCUAAGCACGAAACUUGCCCCGAGAUGAGUUCUCCCUGAGACUAUAAGUCUCCUGAAGGAACGUUAAAGACGAUGACGUUGAUAGGCCGGGUGUGUAAGCGCAGCGAUGCGUUGAGCUAACCGGUACUAAUGAACCGUGAGGCUUAACCUU
RNAcentral lists this ribosomal RNA (163 nucleotides) under Klebsiella pneumoniae. RNAcentral's name for it is "partial 23S ribosomal RNA". It matches the Rfam family "Bacterial large subunit ribosomal RNA", at positions 2768 to 2925 of the family's 2925-position model. Lineage: Bacteria; Pseudomonadati; Pseudomonadota; Gammaproteobacteria; Enterobacterales; Enterobacteriaceae. The record is from RNAcentral. RNAcentral also lists the same sequence under 2 other names.